This 254-nucleotide ribosomal RNA is filed under the name uncultured bacterium. Its description in RNAcentral is "partial 16S ribosomal RNA". It matches the Rfam family "Bacterial small subunit ribosomal RNA", at positions 524 to 776 of the family's 1533-position model. The record is from RNAcentral.
UACGUAGGGUGCAAGCGUUAAUCGGAAUUACUGGGCGUAAAGCGUGCGCAGGCGGUUCUAUAAGACAGAUGUGAAAUCCCCGGGCUCAACCUGGGAACUGCAUUUGUGACUGUAGAGCUGGAGUGCGGCAGAGGGGGAUGGAAUUCCGCGUGUAGCAGAUGAAAUGCGUAGAUAUGCGGAGGAACACCGAUGGCGAAGGCAGCCCCCUGGGUUAACACUGACGCUCAGGCACGAAAGCGUGGGGAGCAAACAGG